ACUGCUGCCCUGAUAGUCGG
This 20-nucleotide microRNA is filed under the name Macaca fascicularis (crab-eating macaque). Its description in RNAcentral is "novel_miR11-5p". The record is from RNAcentral. Lineage: Eukaryota; Metazoa; Chordata; Mammalia; Primates; Cercopithecidae.